AGAUAGGAUUGAGAUGGAGGAUGGGAGGGGAGGAUGGGAGGAAGGAGUAAAAAAAAGUGAAAACAAAAACAAAAAACUGUAAUCUUUUUGAAAUUGUUUUCACUUUCAAGUUGUUGUUUUCACUUUUGUUACUCCUCUCUCCCAUCCUCCCCUCUUAUCCUCUCCUUCCAAUCUCAUCC
This 179-nucleotide microRNA precursor is filed under the name Prunus dulcis (almond). RNAcentral describes it as "sRNA ncRNA". The record is from RNAcentral. Lineage: Eukaryota; Viridiplantae; Streptophyta; Magnoliopsida; Rosales; Rosaceae.